CAAGCGGUGGAGCAUGUGGUUUAAUUCGAUGCAACGCGAAGAACCUUACCUGGUCUUGACAUCCACAGAACUUGGCAGAGAUGCCUUGGUGCCUUCGGGAACUGUGAGACAGGUGCUGCAUGGCUGUCGUCAGCUCGUGUUGUGAAAUGUUGGGUUAAGUCCCGCAACGAGCGCAACCCUUAUCCUUUGUUGCCAGCGGUCCGGCCGGGAACUCAAAGGAGACUGCCAGUGAUAAACUGGAGGAAGGUGGGGAUGACGUCAAGUCAUCAUGGCCCUUACGACCAGGGCUACACACGUGCUACAAUGGCAUAUACAAAGAGAAGCGACCUCGCGAGAGCAAGCGGACCUCAUAAAGUAUGUCGUAGUCCGGAUUGGAGUCUGCAACUCGACUCCAUGAAGUCGGAAUCGCUAGUAAUCGUGGAUCAGAAUGCCACGGUGAAUACGUUCCCGGGCCUUGUACACACCGCCCGUCACACCAUGGGAGUGGGUUGCAAAAGAAGUAGGUA
RNAcentral lists this ribosomal RNA (506 nucleotides) under Citrobacter amalonaticus. Its description in RNAcentral is "bacterial SSU rRNA". It matches the Rfam family "Bacterial small subunit ribosomal RNA", at positions 926 to 1432 of the family's 1533-position model. Lineage: Bacteria; Pseudomonadati; Pseudomonadota; Gammaproteobacteria; Enterobacterales; Enterobacteriaceae. The record is from RNAcentral.